GUCAGGAUGGCCGAGUGGUGCAAGGCGCUGCGUUCAGGUCGCAGUCUACUCUUGUAGGCGUGGGUUCAAAUCCCACUUCUGACA
Molecule: non-coding RNA, 84 nt
Organism: Biomphalaria glabrata
Lineage: Eukaryota; Metazoa; Mollusca; Gastropoda; Planorbidae
Source: Rfam